This 301-nucleotide ribosomal RNA is filed under the name uncultured bacterium. Its description in RNAcentral is "partial 16S ribosomal RNA". It matches the Rfam family "Bacterial small subunit ribosomal RNA", at positions 509 to 807 of the family's 1533-position model. The record is from RNAcentral.
CAGCAGCCGCGGUAAUACGUAGGUGGCAAGCGUUGUCCGGAAUUAUUGGGCGUAAAGCGCGCGCAGGUGGUUUAAUAAGUCUGAUGUGAAAGCCCACGGCUCAACCGUGGAGGGUCAUUGGAAACUGUUAAACUUGAGUGCAGGAGAGAAAAGUGGAAUUCCUAGUGUAGCGGUGAAAUGCGUAGAGAUUAGGAGGAACACCAGUGGCGAAGGCGGCUUUUUGGCCUGUAACAGACACUGAGGCGCGAGAGCGUGGGGAGCGAACAGGAUUAGAUACCCGUGUAGUCCCUGUCUCUUAUAC